UUCAAAUAUUUGAAGUCAAUUAUCAUAUUUCUUUUCUUAAAUUUAGGGUUUGGAGAGCCAGUCAAAAAAAUACAUUGUGAGUCUCUUCUGAAUGAGUGGUAAUGAAAGUAGGCUGAGUCCUAGUGCUCACUGAUUCUUCCUCAUCUGAAUGGUGGCAGUUAUUUUUAUGAUGCAUGCUAGAAUCUUGCCUUAAAUCAAAGUCAAGACAACUGAUCUAUUGCUUGGAGAAUCUGUCAUCUCUGGUCUACCUAGUGAAGAGUUCUAAAGGUCUGCCAUCUAUGGGCUCCUUCCUGCCAAGUCCUUGAACCCAUGAAAGCGUGGCUGGCAGGGUAUUCGCUGUGUGCUACAAUCUAUCCUCUGUUGGGGAGUUCACAUGAAUUCAACUUAAAGAAAACCCACUUAUUGGAAUAUUUGGAAAACAUGGAAAAGUGUAAAAAUGAAAAUAAAAAUUACCUAUAAUUGGAUAAAUCAGAGAUAAAUGCAGACAAC
RNAcentral lists this long non-coding RNA (489 nucleotides) under Canis lupus familiaris (dog). RNAcentral's name for it is "lncRNA (ENSCAFG00845024188.1)". The record is from RNAcentral. Lineage: Eukaryota; Metazoa; Chordata; Mammalia; Carnivora; Canidae.